CAGCUCUGGGGAUGUUGCCUAGCAAAACAAAUUCUGUCAGCAUAGCCCCGCGGUCUGACGUGGUACCGAAUACGCAACACUAUCUAUAAAAACCAGGAAGCAAUCCAAGGGAAACGGCACAUUUUAGUUCUGCUGCAGACCAUCCACAGAAUACAGUGAUGCAGAAAACUAUUCCUGGCUGCUUUUUCCAGCAAAUGUAUGCUUCCCUAACUGGCAUUUCUAUGGAGAGAGACCAUAUGAAAGAUCUUAGAAGAUACCUGACUCUCGCCAUUUACGGACGGUGAAAAAUGCCAGACUGACAUCCAGGAUCAUCUGGAUCCUGGUGACUGCAGAGUGCGCCCUGUUCCAGACAGAUGUCCUCCUGAAGGCCAGCAGCACUUCUGCUCCCACCCGCAGCCCUUGUGUUUUGUUGUUUCAUUUCUCCAGCACGGCUGCAGCCCUUCUCAGGUCCCUCAGUUACUUCCUGGGAAUUCUUUUAAGGAUUGCCAAUGUAUACAUCUACUACAAAAUAUUUUUUAGCAUGUCUAACAGAUCUACGCUAAAAACGAAGUAGCGCGUAUUCCCAGGGGAAGCUGCACUGUGACACCAAACAGAAGACACUUCAACACAGUUUCAAACUAUUGGUUUGAAAAUUGUUCAAUAACCAGGACCAAGGCUCAUGUUUUGGCACACCAUUGAGUUUAAACCUUCCUGUUUUCUAAUGCUGUUUAGCCUUGGUUAUUAUGAGGAGCUUGGGGCUGAGGAGCCCCUUGGCACUGAAACACAACGAAGCUGGGCUGUGGGUGCUCGUGCUGACAGCCUUAGAGCACUGCGGGCUUGCUUUGAUUGUUUGCAAUCUACAGUUUAUUCACUGUACAGGUGAAACAAAUGACAUUUCAUGAACGGUUGUAAAAACAAAAGCAACCCAAAUAUUUUUUAUAUAAAAAGGGUGCUUAGAGGCUUACUCAGGGAUCCGCUGAGCCAAGAGCUGUACAGUUGUACACUAAAGACAUGAUCUAUGUCCUAAAAUAUCUCUAACGCAGGUGACCCAUCAGAAUCAGCAGGUAGGAUCGAGAAACAAGGUGAGCGCCAAGCUGACCUAGCCUAGCUGGGCUUGUCCCACAGGUGGCAUCAGCCCCACCACGAGAGUCCCCAGGACAGAGCGGGGCUGAGCUGCCACAUCUCGGUACACGCCUGGAGCUAUUCUUGGGAGGUUGCUACAGUAAAGUAGUAAAUAGCUUCUCACAUCCUCCUUCAGAAAUAAACAGGAGGUGGAAAGCCAGAAUGCAGUUGUUUGCUGCAGCCCUACAAGGGCGGGGAGAGAGUUUCAGAAAACCCCUGUGUUGAAGGCUCCAUGUGCUGUACCCAGAGGGAUCACCAGCGAUUUUGGUGGCCAUGGUUUCAGAGGCAGGGAGGGAUGCGCUGGGGUUAGCAGUGCUGCUCCGGCUCCCUUGGCAGUGGUUCCAUGGGUACCAGGGCCAUGGAUGUUCCUCUGACCGCACUGGGGCUCGGGUGGAUGUAUAACAGAGCUAUUACCCAGCUGGUGAUUCCCAGGGUCUCCUGAAAGCACUGGAUGGUUAUCAGCAAAACAUAAAGUACUCUAGAUACCUCAGACACUCCCCAACACACAAGUGGAUGUAGGCACUUCCGAUUACUUUUGCACUUUGCAUGGGAGAUGGCCUCCAGCUUCAAUUAAAGACUGUGGUUUUGAGAAACUGAACUUCUGUGAUAUGUUCUGCAAUCCACAGAUCGUAAAAAGGUGGAAAGAAAAAUGAAAUAAGCCAAACCCCAAGUAUUAAUAGCCAAAAUGCUACAUACAGCCUCCCUCCAUCAUGCUUCCAGACCUUCAAUACACCUUGCCAGCCCAAACACAGCAAUAAGCCUCUGCCCGCCUGAGAAGAAGAAGGAUGUGGGGCACAAAACCCAAGCGUGAUGAAUUUCAGCUCUAACCUUCCCUCCUUCAGGUUGCAGUAGGUCCUCACACUCAAACUGGCACCAGUGAAUGCCUGAUGUGCCCUGCUGGUAGCAGUUACUUGGCACUUAGACUGUUAGAGCUGAAAAUUGGAGCUGUGAGCACUUUCCCGAGUGGCCUGUAGUCCAAGGUGACCAGAGGCACAAGAGCUGUCAACUGAAGGUCAGACUUCACAAACCCAAGACAAACAGCAAGUGCGGAGGAGUUUCCUGCUCUUUGCUAUGCUUACCAGCCAGUUUCUAAAUUUCGCAAUCACGCCUUUUCUAGUUGGUGUCAGAAGUGAUUUUUUCCUCCUUCAGGGAGAUAAACUUGACCGAAAGGCAACACCCAGAAAAGGGGCAGUGAAACCAGGUGCGCCCGUCUUGCUGCUGGGGCAGGAGGCGGCUGGCAGCAGGACUGUCUCCUUCACAGCCAGACUAAAUGAAACAAAAUAGGGUUUUUUGCAUGUCAGAUAAAGUCAGCUCAGUUUUAAUGAAAGGCAAAUAUCCUGGCCCAAGGAGCAUCCAUCUUACAUUGGGAUCUUUGAGAUUACUCAAGUGCAUUUUUUCUGACAAGGACACUAAAUGAAAACCUUUUUUACGUGGCUAUACCCUGCCUAGCAUCUCCAGAGUCAUUUCAGAGACCCUCCCUGCUUCCUUUCCACCUUCUCUUUGUGUUCCUUCAUGACACUCUCUGAGAAAAGGCUGAAUUUUGCUUCUACAUCAAUAAUCAAGCAAUAAUAAUGCAGAUGUACUUGGCUGGUUCUAUGAGAUUAAAAUAUUGAGCUCUUACUUACAACUGCUAAAAUCUUUAAAAAUAUUCUAAUCCCUUUGGCUGCACUAAUACACUUCAAAAAAUUAUGAAUAGUGUUAUUAUCAGAAUUCACAGAAGUUAUCUGCCUAGAGUGCAGUUAUUUACAAUGAAUAUUGGCAGCGUCAGAGAUGCUGUGGACACUGGUGGGCCAGAAGCCAGGGAAGAGUGCUUGACAUCAUUGUUUCUCAGAAGACUGAAAGGAAACACUGGUAAGGGCUGGGUAUCCAGUAAAAGCAGAACAGAAAUUUAAUCAAGUCACUUAAAAAAACUCGGAUGCAUGUUGCCUAACAAAGCCAAUUCCUUCUCCAGGAAGGACGUCUUAGUACUUUGAUGUACUGUGAUACACUGUUCUUAUUCUGGAAGCCUGAAGUGCCACUUUCAGGAGAGACAAACUGCU
This is a long non-coding RNA of Aquila chrysaetos chrysaetos, 3140 nucleotides long. RefSeq lists it as uncharacterized. The record is from RefSeq and is a predicted model, not a curated record. The transcript is spliced from 3 exons. NCBI's taxonomy places the organism in Eukaryota, Metazoa, Chordata, Aves, Accipitriformes, Accipitridae.